RNAcentral lists this ribosomal RNA (253 nucleotides) under uncultured Bellilinea sp. Its description in RNAcentral is "partial 16S ribosomal RNA". It matches the Rfam family "Bacterial small subunit ribosomal RNA", at positions 524 to 776 of the family's 1533-position model. Lineage: Bacteria; Bacillati; Chloroflexota; Anaerolineae; Anaerolineales; Anaerolineaceae. The record is from RNAcentral.
AACGUAGGAUCCGAGCGUUAUCCGAAUUCACUGGGCGUAAAGCGCGUGCAGGCGGUUCGCAAAGUUGGAUGUGAAAUCUUCCGGCUCAACUGGGAGAGGCCGUUCAAAACUUGCGGACUAGAGGGCAGUAGAGGGAGGUGGAAUUCCCGGUGUAGUGGUGAAAUGCGUAGAUAUCGGGAGGAACACCAGUGGCGAAAGCGGCCUCCUGGGCUGUACCUGACGCUAAGAUGCGAAAGCUAGGGGAGCGAACGGG